RNAcentral lists this long non-coding RNA (340 nucleotides) under Nicotiana benthamiana. Its description in RNAcentral is "long non-coding RNA (NBEN_LNC031118)". Lineage: Eukaryota; Viridiplantae; Streptophyta; Magnoliopsida; Solanales; Solanaceae. The record is from RNAcentral.
ACGAAGUUUAAGAAAAGAUAGAACACUUUUAAACUUGUGGUGUAAAAUGAAGCACAUAUAUUUUGUGUAGUUAUAAAUCAUUGUAUAAAGAUAUAUUGUUUUCAAAUAGGGAAGGCGAAAUGGCUUCCUAACCACUCAAACUUGCAGCCGAUUUUAAAGCCGAUACACCAACUGACAAGUUUCCCAUUUGAACACUCCAACUCAAUAAAAUGAAUAUCAAUAAACAUAUCCAUCAGAGCGUGAGCUUCAAUUGCCUAACAAGAAUGACAAGUCACACUCUGUGACAUUUUUUGACACGUGUAAUUUGUGGGUACCACAUUUUUAAUAGUGCCAAUUUGCC